UCUCGCUUGGUGUUGAUGGAAAAGCAUGGUUCAUGGUUGUCUCUGGAAGCGCCUCUUCAGAGAAAUUGCACUGUUUUCUCUUAUUACGAAAUCGAAAUAUUAAUUUGCCACUCUUCAAACUCGUGCAGAACAAAAGCCGAAGGGCAGUCAACAGUGGAAAAGCUAUAUUUCAGAACUUGAUAAACAACAUGCUGAGUAGCUACGCCUGACACUCGAGAAUUUGAUACAGCCAAUACCGAUUCUGAUGGCAGUAUUGUUCAUGACUUUGCUGCUGGAAAGUCAUGAACAAGAAAAUAACAAUAAAAAUGCAUUGUGAAAAAUAUAGAGUACACUGAGUAGACAAAUGUUGGAUUAUUAUGAAAAGCUUA
This is a non-coding RNA of Chiloscyllium plagiosum (whitespotted bambooshark), 368 nucleotides long. The record is from RefSeq and is a predicted model, not a curated record. NCBI's taxonomy places the organism in Eukaryota, Metazoa, Chordata, Chondrichthyes, Orectolobiformes, Hemiscylliidae.